Molecule: ribosomal RNA, 769 nt
Filed under: uncultured organism
Description: bacterial SSU rRNA
Rfam family: Bacterial small subunit ribosomal RNA
Source: RNAcentral
AUUGCUUUUAUAUAAGGCUUGUAAAGGAUUAGGUAGUUGGUGGGAUAAAAGCUUACCAAGCCGAUGAUCUUUAGCUGGUUUGAGAGAAUGAUCAGCCACACCGGAACUGAAAUACGGUCCAGACUCUUUUAGGAGGCAGCAGCGAGGAAUUUUGGACAAUGGGCGAAAGCUUGAUCCAGCAAUACUACGUAAGUGAUACAUUGAAGGUUUCUUGAUUGUAAAGCUUUAAAAUUUUUGAACAUAGUGAUAGUAUUAAAAUAUUAAGUUCCGACUAACUUCGUGCCAGCAGUCGCGGUAAUACGGGGGGAACGAGUGUUAUUCAAAUUUACUGGGCGUAAAGGGCAAGUAGACGGUAAAUAUUAUUAGUAUUAAAGAUUAACAUUCAAUGUUAAUAGUCAAACUAAAAUGUAUUUGCUUGAGUUUAGGGGAAGAUAGCAGUAUUUUGAGAGUAGAAGUAAAAUUCGAGAAUUCUUAAAAAGACUUUCAUUGGCGAAAGCGGUUAUCUAAAAUAAACUGACGUGAGAGGCGAAGCAUAGGUAGCAACAGGAUUAGAUACCCUGGUAGUCUAUAGCUGUAAACGAUGAAUGUUCAAUGUUUGUCACAUUAAGGUUUCAGAAUUUUAGCUUACGCAUUAAGCAUUCCGCCUGAGUAGUACGGUUGCUAGAUUAGAAUUCAUAGAAAUUGACGGAAGCUUGUACAAGCGGUGGAGCAUGUGGUUUAAUCCGAUACAACGCGUAGAAUCUUACCAACUUUUGAUGUUAACUUCAUA